This 460-nucleotide ribosomal RNA is filed under the name uncultured bacterium. RNAcentral's name for it is "partial 16S ribosomal RNA". It matches the Rfam family "Bacterial small subunit ribosomal RNA", at positions 338 to 795 of the family's 1533-position model. The record is from RNAcentral.
CCUACGGGAGGCAGCAGUGAGGAAUAUUGGUCAAUGGGCGCUAGCCUGAACCAGCCAAGUAGCGUGAAGGAUGACUGCCCUAUGGGUUGUAAACUUCUUUUAUAUGGGAAUAAAGUGCAGUAUGUAUACUGCUUUGCAUGUACCUUAUGAAUAAGGAUCGGCUAACUCCGUGACAGCAGCCGCGGUAAUACGGAGGAUCCGAGCGUUAUCCGGAUUUAUUGGGGUUAAAGGGAGCGUAGGCGGGUUGUUAAGUCAGUUGUGAAAGUUUGCGGCUCAACCGUAGAAUUGCAGUUGAUACUGGCAUGCGUGAGUACAGUAGAGGUAGGCGGAAUUCGUGGUGUAGCGGUGAAAGGCGUAGAGAUCACGAAGAACUCCGAUGGCGAAGGCAGCCUGCUGGACUGUAACUGACGCUGAUGCGCGAAAGUGUGGGUAUCAAACAGGAUUAGAUACCCGUGUAGUC